This 73-nucleotide transfer RNA is filed under the name Trichoplax adhaerens. RNAcentral describes it as "tRNA-Val for anticodon UAC". It matches the Rfam family "tRNA". Rfam says of the family: Transfer RNA (tRNA) molecules are approximately 80 nucleotides in length. Their secondary structure includes four short double-helical elements and three loops (D, anti-codon, and T loops). Further hydrogen bonds mediate the characteristic L-shaped molecular structure. tRNAs have two regions of fundamental functional importance: the anti-codon, which is responsible for specific mRNA codon recognition, and the 3' end, to which the tRNAs corresponding amino acid is attached (by aminoacyl-tRNA synthetases). tRNAs cope with the degeneracy of the genetic code in two manners: having more than one tRNA (with a specific anti-codon) for a particular amino acid; and 'wobble' base-pairing, i.e. permitting non-standard base-pairing at the 3rd anti-codon position. Lineage: Eukaryota; Metazoa; Placozoa; Uniplacotomia; Trichoplacea; Trichoplacidae. The record is from Rfam by way of RNAcentral. RNAcentral also lists the same sequence under 1 other name.
GGUUCGUUGGUGUAGUGGUUAUCACGUCUGCUUUACACGCAGAAGGUCCCGGGUUCGAACCCCGGACGAACCU